This 75-nucleotide transfer RNA is filed under the name Culturomica sp. RNAcentral describes it as "tRNA-Met". It matches the Rfam family "tRNA". From Rfam's summary of the family: Transfer RNA (tRNA) molecules are approximately 80 nucleotides in length. Lineage: Bacteria; Pseudomonadati; Bacteroidota; Bacteroidia; Bacteroidales; Odoribacteraceae. The record is from RNAcentral.
UGCGGGAUGGAGCAGUGGUAGCUCGUUGGGCUCAUAACCCAAAGGUCGUCGGUUCGAAUCUGGCUCCCGCUACCA